AGUGAACGCUGGCGGUAGGCCUAACACAUGCAAGUCGAACGACAGCACAGUAAGAGCUUGCUCUUACGGUUGGCGAGUGGCGGACGGGUGAGGAAUACAUCGGAAUCUACUUUUUCGUGGGGGAUAACGGAGGGAAACUUACGCUAAUACCGCAUACGACCUACGGGUGAAAUCAGUAGAGCUUCGGACCUUGCCCGAUUGAAUGAGCCGAUGUCGGAUUAGCUAGUUGGCGGGGUAAAGGCACACCAAGGCGACGAUCCGUAGCUGAUCUGAGAGGAUGAUCAGCCACACUGGAACUGAGACACGGUCCAGACUCCUACGGGAGGCAGCAGUGGGGAAUAUUGGACAAUGGGCGCAAGCCUGAUCCAGCCAUACCGCGUGGGUGAAGAAGGCCUUCGGGUUGUAAAGCCCUUUUGUUGGGGAAGAAAAGCAGCAGGUGAAUACCCCGCUGUUCUGACGGUACCCAAAGAAUAAGCACCGGCUAACUUCGUG
RNAcentral lists this ribosomal RNA (492 nucleotides) under uncultured bacterium. RNAcentral describes it as "partial 16S ribosomal RNA". It matches the Rfam family "Bacterial small subunit ribosomal RNA", at positions 29 to 507 of the family's 1533-position model. The record is from RNAcentral.